This 110-nucleotide ribosomal RNA is filed under the name uncultured Bacteroidota bacterium. RNAcentral's name for it is "uncultured Bacteroidetes bacterium partial 16S ribosomal RNA". It matches the Rfam family "Bacterial small subunit ribosomal RNA", at positions 415 to 524 of the family's 1533-position model. Lineage: Bacteria; Pseudomonadati; Bacteroidota. The record is from RNAcentral.
CCUAUGGGUUGUAAACUGCUUUUUUACGGAAGAAACCUUGGUACGUGUACCAACUUGACGGGACUGUAAGAAUAAGCACCGGCUAACUCCAUGCCAGCAGCCGCGGUAAU